Molecule: ribosomal RNA, 497 nt
Filed under: uncultured bacterium
Lineage: Bacteria
Description: partial 16S ribosomal RNA
Rfam family: Bacterial small subunit ribosomal RNA
Source: RNAcentral
GAUGAACGCUGGCGGCGUGCCUAAUACAUGCAAGUCGAGCGAACGGACGAGGAGCUUGCUUCUCUGAUGUUAGCGGCGGACGGGUGAGUAACACGUGGAUAACCUACCUAUAAGACUGGGAUAACUUCGGGAAACCGGAGCUAAUACCGGAUAAUAUUUUGAACCGCAUGGUUCAAAAGUGAAAGACGGUCUUGCUGUCACUUAUAGAUGGAUCCACGCUGCAUUAGCUAGUUGGUAAGGUAACGGCUUACCAAGGCAACGAUGCGUAGCCGACCUGAGAGGGUGAUCGGCCACACUGGAACUGAGACACGGUCCAGACUCCUACGGGAGGCAGCAGUAGGGAAUCUUCCGCAAUGGGCGAAAGCCUGACGGAGCAACGCCGCGUGAGUGAUGAAGGUCUUCGGAUCGUAAAACUCUGUUAUUAGGGAAGAACAAAUGUGUAAGUAACUGUGCACAUCUUGACGGUACCUAAUCAGAAAGCCACGGCUAACUACGUG